GCCUGGGUGGCUCAGUUGGUUAAGCAUCUGGCUUCAGUUCAGGUCAUGAUCUAACAGUUUGUGAGUUCGAGCCCCACAUCAGGCC
RNAcentral lists this transfer RNA (85 nucleotides) under Felis catus (domestic cat). It matches the Rfam family "tRNA". Rfam says of the family: Transfer RNA (tRNA) molecules are approximately 80 nucleotides in length. Their secondary structure includes four short double-helical elements and three loops (D, anti-codon, and T loops). The record is from Rfam by way of RNAcentral. Lineage: Eukaryota; Metazoa; Chordata; Mammalia; Carnivora; Felidae.